GAAUAGCUCAUUCGGCAGAGCGUUGGACUAUCAAUGGGAAUGUCCUGGUUCGAAUCCAGGCAUCA
Molecule: non-coding RNA, 65 nt
Organism: Circinella umbellata
Lineage: Eukaryota; Fungi; Mucoromycota; Mucoromycetes; Mucorales; Lichtheimiaceae
Source: the annotation of a GenBank genome assembly